This 1047-nucleotide long non-coding RNA is filed under the name Triticum aestivum (bread wheat). Its description in RNAcentral is "long non-coding RNA (TAES_LNC002115)". The record is from RNAcentral. Lineage: Eukaryota; Viridiplantae; Streptophyta; Magnoliopsida; Poales; Poaceae.
GGGCAGGCACCGGGGAAACCCAGCGCCAGGCCGCAGCGGGCACCGCCGCCCCUGUCAUCUCGCGCCGCCGGCCAUUGUACGGAGCCAUCACAGGUAAAAUACGUGAUUUCAGCUAUGCGCAUAGGUUCUUUGGAUGUCGGCUUGUAGACUUGUAGUUUGGCAUUGGGCGCAUAUCAGAAGGGUGAUUAGCCAUGGAUCUCUUUGUUCUGCAGGCUCAUAAGAUUGAACGGGUUUGGGGCAGCAAUAUCUGUCAUGCGUUCAUAUUUAAGCAGUCAUCAUGCAGGUAAGACGACAUGCAGACUUAAUCUCGAUUCUCGUUUUGUUCUUAUGGGAAGGGGCCCGGGGAUGCAAGUGACAUACGCAUUAUGUCUUUCGUGUAGUCUGGUUUUUUUUUAUGGAUUUGCUAUUGAGGGUCCGGAUGCUCAUGACCUUUUCGCGGUACUGACAGGUCUUGGUAACGUGGCAUGUAUGUGUUGCCAUUGUACAUGAAUCAAUGUUUAUAGUUAGGAUUUUUCGGUGCAUGGGAUGCGCCAACAUGUACGUUGGGAAAUAGCAGUAGCGUAUAAAUCAACGUUGUGUUUCCGUCUUGAAGAGUUGUACAUUUUACCAAUGCUCUGAUUGUGCAGAACUACAGCAAGCUCAACAAGCUGCCCACGAUCGUUGAAGAGGAUGACUCAGACAGGGGCGACGGGUAUGACGGUCCUACUUAGAUGUUCAGUGCAGAAGGUUUACUCUUUUAUAUCAUAUAGUUUGACCAGCAGAAAAGAGACAUUGUUAUCUCUAUGGGUUGGGGUGGCACUCUAUCCAUCCCACUGAUUAGCAAGUUGAGCGUCAGACAUAUGGUUUGGCUUUUAGGGAUGGUGGAUAAGGUUAGACAAGCCAUUAUCUUGGGGCCGAAUAAGGUAUUUAAGUUCAACGAGAGCGACGUUGAGAAGAUAUACGGAAUCCCGGCAGCUGGAACAGAUGUGAUGGACAAAACCCAGGAAUAAUGGUUAUAUACGCGUACAAAGAACUGAUUAAUGGUAUAUGAAUCCAGAAACUCAUUAU